RNAcentral lists this ribosomal RNA (253 nucleotides) under uncultured bacterium. RNAcentral's name for it is "partial 16S ribosomal RNA". It matches the Rfam family "Bacterial small subunit ribosomal RNA", at positions 524 to 776 of the family's 1533-position model. The record is from RNAcentral.
UACGUAGGGUGCGAGCGUUGUCCGGAAUUAUUGGGCGUAAAGAGCUCGUAGGCGGUCUGUCGCGUCGGCUGUGAAAUCCCGAGGCUCAACCUCGGGUCUGCAGUCGAUACGGGCAAACUAGAGUAUUGCAGGGGAGACUGGAAUUCCUGGUGUAGCGGUGAAAUGCGCAGAUAUCAGGAGGAACACCGGUGGCGAAGGCGGGUCUCUGGGCAAUAACUGACGCUGAGGAGCGAAAGCUAGGGGAGCAAACGGG